CUUCACCGACCCGAGCCACAAGGGGUGUUCCGCCGGGCGGUGCUGUCCGUAGGCGGCGAGCAGGGCGCGUGCCUC
Molecule: antisense RNA, 75 nt
Filed under: Streptomyces sp. NRRL F-4711
Lineage: Bacteria; Bacillati; Actinomycetota; Actinomycetes; Kitasatosporales; Streptomycetaceae
Description: ASpks sRNA
Rfam family: ASpks TB sRNA
Source: RNAcentral